UGGGGAAUCGUCUAAGGGCAAGACACCGGUCUCUGGAACCGGGAAUCUAGGUUCGAAUCCUAGUUCCCCAG
Molecule: transfer RNA, 71 nt
Filed under: bacterium
Lineage: Bacteria
Description: tRNA-Gln
Rfam family: tRNA
About the family: Transfer RNA (tRNA) molecules are approximately 80 nucleotides in length. Their secondary structure includes four short double-helical elements and three loops (D, anti-codon, and T loops). Further hydrogen bonds mediate the characteristic L-shaped molecular structure. tRNAs have two regions of fundamental functional importance: the anti-codon, which is responsible for specific mRNA codon recognition, and the 3' end, to which the tRNAs corresponding amino acid is attached (by aminoacyl-tRNA synthetases). tRNAs cope with the degeneracy of the genetic code in two manners: having more than one tRNA (with a specific anti-codon) for a particular amino acid; and 'wobble' base-pairing, i.e. permitting non-standard base-pairing at the 3rd anti-codon position.
Source: RNAcentral